GGAGAGACUGUAGCUCAGUGGACAGGGCACCUGCUUGGCCUGCAGAAGGUCCCAGGUUCAAUGCCCCCUGACAUCUCCG
Podarcis lilfordi (Lilford's wall lizard) is the source of this 79-nucleotide non-coding RNA. The record is from the annotation of a GenBank genome assembly. Lineage: Eukaryota; Metazoa; Chordata; Lepidosauria; Squamata; Lacertidae.